CCGGUAGCUAAAUGCGGAAGAGAUAAGUGCUGAAAGCAUCUAAGCACGAAACUUGCCCCGAGAUGAGUUCUCCCUGAGACUUUAGGUCUCCUGAAGGAACGUUGAAGACGACGACGUUGAUAGGCCGGGUGUGUAAGCGCAGCGAUGCGUUGAGCUAACCGGUACUAAUGAACCGUGAGGCUUAACCUUACAACGCCGAAG
Molecule: ribosomal RNA, 201 nt
Filed under: Salmonella enterica subsp. enterica serovar Muenchen
Lineage: Bacteria; Pseudomonadati; Pseudomonadota; Gammaproteobacteria; Enterobacterales; Enterobacteriaceae
Also listed under: 1 other name
Description: partial 23S ribosomal RNA
Rfam family: Bacterial large subunit ribosomal RNA
Source: RNAcentral